RNAcentral lists this transfer RNA (71 nucleotides) under Candidatus Roizmanbacteria bacterium RIFCSPHIGHO2_02_FULL_37_9b. RNAcentral describes it as "tRNA-Ala". It matches the Rfam family "tRNA". From Rfam's summary of the family: Transfer RNA (tRNA) molecules are approximately 80 nucleotides in length. Their secondary structure includes four short double-helical elements and three loops (D, anti-codon, and T loops). Further hydrogen bonds mediate the characteristic L-shaped molecular structure. tRNAs have two regions of fundamental functional importance: the anti-codon, which is responsible for specific mRNA codon recognition, and the 3' end, to which the tRNAs corresponding amino acid is attached (by aminoacyl-tRNA synthetases). tRNAs cope with the degeneracy of the genetic code in two manners: having more than one tRNA (with a specific anti-codon) for a particular amino acid; and 'wobble' base-pairing, i.e. permitting non-standard base-pairing at the 3rd anti-codon position. Lineage: Bacteria; Candidatus Roizmaniibacteriota. RNAcentral also lists the same sequence under 1 other name. The record is from RNAcentral.
GGGCCUGUAGUUCAACGGCAGAAUACCGCAUUCGCAUUGCGGUGAUCCGAGUUCAAUUCUCGGUAGGUCCA